AGAGAGACUGGUAGAGUGAGACAGACAGAGACAGAGAGACUUACGUGUCUAGCACCCAGAGAGAGAGACUGGGACAGAGACAGAGACAGAGAGACUGGGACAGAGACAGAGACAGAGAGACUGGGACAGAGACAGAGACAGAGAGACUGGGACAGAGACAGAGAGACUGGGACAGAGACAGAGAGACUGGGACAGAGACAGAGAGACUGGGACAGAGGCAGAGAGACUGGGACAGAGGCAGAGAGACUGGGACAGAGAGACUUAAGUGUCUAGCACCCAGAGAGAGAGAGAGAGAGAGAGAGACUGGGAGAGGGAGAGAGAGACUGGGACAGAGACAGAGAGAGGGAGAGAGAGAGACUGGGACAGAGAGAGAGACAGAGAGAGGGAGAGAGAGAGACUGGGACAGAGAGAGAGACAGAGAGAGGGAGAGAGAGAGACUGGGACAGAGACAGAGAGACUUAAAGACUGGAACAGAGACAGAGAGACUUAAGUGUCUAGCACCCAGAG
Molecule: long non-coding RNA, 507 nt
Organism: Oncorhynchus tshawytscha (Chinook salmon)
Lineage: Eukaryota; Metazoa; Chordata; Actinopteri; Salmoniformes; Salmonidae
Source: Ensembl